UACGGAGGGUGCAAGCGUUAUCCGGAAUCACUGGGCGUAAAGGGCGCGUAGGUGGUCUGUUAAGUCUGGCGUUAAAGCCUGGGGCUCAACCCCAGAUCAGCGUUGGAUACUGGCAGGCUAGACGGUUGGAGAGGCGAGUGGAAUUACCAGUGUAGCGGUGGAAUGCGUAGAUACUGGUAGGAACACCCAUUGCGAAGGCAGCUCGCUGGACAACACGUGACACUGAGGCGCGAAAGUGUGGGGAGCAAACCGGAUUAGAUACCCCCGUAGUCCCU
This 275-nucleotide ribosomal RNA is filed under the name uncultured prokaryote. Its description in RNAcentral is "partial 16S ribosomal RNA". It matches the Rfam family "Bacterial small subunit ribosomal RNA", at positions 524 to 798 of the family's 1533-position model. The record is from RNAcentral.